GAUGAACGCUGACAGAAUGCUUAACACAUGCAAGUCGAUGGGGAAGUGGUGCUUGCACCAUGGCAACCAUGGCGGACGGGUGAGUAACGCGUAAGGGACUUACCUGCAGGACUGGGAUAACAGGGGGAAACUCCUGACAAGACCGGAUAAUGUCAUGGAGCUGCAUGGCUUUAUGAUGAAAGGAGACGCCUGCGGAGAGCCUUGCGUCCUAUUAGCUAGUUGGUGAGGUAAUGGCUCACCAAGGCGAAGAUAGGUAGCCGGCCUGAGAGGGUGGACGGCCACAAGGGGACUGAGAUACGGCCCUUACUCCUACGGGGGGCAGGGGGGGGGAAUAUUGGACAAUGGGGGCCACCCUGAUCCAGCAAUUCUGUGGGCACAAAGAGGGUUUUCGGUUGGAAAAGUUCUUUCAGCAGGGAAGAAGUAAGUGACGGUACCGGAAGAAGAAGCGACGGCUAAAUACGG
RNAcentral lists this ribosomal RNA (462 nucleotides) under uncultured bacterium. RNAcentral's name for it is "partial 16S ribosomal RNA". It matches the Rfam family "Bacterial small subunit ribosomal RNA", at positions 28 to 506 of the family's 1533-position model. The record is from RNAcentral.